AGUGAACGCUGGCGGUAGGCCUAACACAUGCAAGUCGAACGGCAGCACAGUAAGAGCUUGCUCUUACGGGUGGCGAGUGGCGGACGGGUGAGGAAUACAUCGGAAUCUACUUUUUCGUGGGGGAUAACGUAGGGAAACUUACGCUAAUACCGCAUACGACCUACGGGUGAAAGCAGGGGAUCUUCGGACCUUGCGCGAUUGAAUGAACCGAUGUCGGAUUAGCUAGUUGGCGGGGUAAAGGCCCACCAAGGCGACGAUCCGUAGCUGGUCUGAGAGGAUGAGAAGGCACACGGGGAGGGAGACACGGCCAAGAAGAGUGCGGGAGGGAGCAGGGGGGAAUAUGGGAAAAGGGGAGAAAGAAAGAGCAAGAAAUGGCGCGGGAGUGAUGAAGGACUGAGGGGAGUAAAGCUAGGUGAAACGGGAUGAUAAUGACAGUAACGGGAGAAUAAGCUCCGGCUAACUCCGUG
This 467-nucleotide ribosomal RNA is filed under the name uncultured bacterium. Its description in RNAcentral is "partial 16S ribosomal RNA". It matches the Rfam family "Bacterial small subunit ribosomal RNA", at positions 30 to 507 of the family's 1533-position model. The record is from RNAcentral.